UUACAAAACUGGGAUGCGCUGGGGGUGGAGGGCGCUAGUUCGGACUGGAUCCUGGGCCCGAGGCCUGCUUAUUUGCAUAAUCCUAGCGCGGGACAAUGAAAGGCCUCCCGCACUGGAAGGAGUGAUUUGCAUAUUCCCCGGAGGGGCCUUACUCCAGAGCGCAGUGAUUAGCAUAUGGCGGGGGCAACCUGAGCAAAGCGCAUGCGCGCAGGGACUGCAGACUGACGCGAAGUGGGUAGCCUUGUCUUCGUAGGGGAUCAGUUUGCAUCCUGAGAGAGGGCACGAGGGCCAGGACCCCUCCCAACCAGGAUAAAGGUUUAUUGAUCUCCUAGGUGUCAGGCCCCAUGCUGGCGGAUUCUGUGGUUUCUGCAGUGAACCAUACUCCUGUACUCACGGCACCCCAGUCGAAGGAGAUACGCACCUAAUUAGACAACUACUACCCAGAAGGUCAGACCUGGAGUGAGGAACACAGGGGGCUGUGGGAGCCUAAGAGGCGCUUGCCCCGGCCUCUGGUUCUAGAAAGACUUCCAGGAGGUGGUGAUCCUUAAGCCAAGUACGAAUAGGAGCCAACUAGAAUGGGAAUGGGUCUGGCAGAAUGAACUGCAAGCGCCAAGGCCCAGAGGCCAAAAAAAAAAAAAAAAAAAUAGAAGCGCAUGUUUUGAUUGAGGAAGCAAGAGCAGCUUAGUAUGCCUAGAACCUAACUGGAGACGGGAAAUGGUUCUAUAGACGAUGUUAGAGUUCAACUAUGGCUACAUUCCAGUCUUCCUGUAAGUGACUUUGUCACAUUCUGGCUUAAAACUCCCCCAAAGGGAUCCCAUUAGGAAAAAAAAAAAAUCCAAAAAUCUUUAUCAUGGCCUCAGGGCUAUACACCUGGUCUGGCCGUGCUUAUCUUUCUGACCCCACCUACUUCCUCCUCCCUCCAUUUCUGUCCAGCUCCACCUUACCCCAAACUCUUUACCAGCUCGGGCCUCUGCUCUUGCCGUUCCCUCCGCCUGAAAAUGCUUUUCCCUCUGACCUUUGAAUACCUACUCUUGUGCUCACCAUUCAUAUCUUGGUACAGAUGUCAAUCUGAGAGGCUUUUCCUGAUCUCUCCAUAAUAGCACUUACACAUUUGACUGGAGUUAUGGAUAAAUCGGGAUUGGCCAUGAGUUGGUGGUGGUUGUAACUGGCAUGAAGAGUACAUGGGGCUGGGCGCGGUGGCUCACGCCCGUAAUCCCAGCACUUUGGGAGGCCGAGGCUGGUGUAUCACCUGAGGUCAGGAGCUUGAGACCAGCCUGGGCAACAUGGUGAAACCCUGCCUCUAUUAAAACUACAAAAAUUAGCCAGGGGUUAUGGGGGGUGCCUGUAAUCCUUGCUACUUGGGAGGCUGAGGCACGAAGAUCACUUGAACCCUGGAGGCAGAGGUUGCAUUGAGUCGAGAUUGAGCCACUGCACUCCAGCCUGGGCCACCCAGCGAGACUCUGGGUCUCGCCUGUAAUCCCAGCACUUUGGGAGGCCGAGGCGGGCGGAUCACGUCAGAAGAUCGAGACCAUCCUGGCCAUCCUAGACCAUUUCUACUAAAAAUACAAAAAAAAAAAAAAAAAAAUUAGCCGGGCGUGGUGGCAGGCGCCUGUAGUCCCAGCUACUCGGGAGGCUGAGGCAGGAGAAUGGCGUGAACACGGGAGGCGGAGCUUGCAGUGAUCCGAGAUGGCGCUACUGCACUCCAGCCUGGGCGACAGAGCGAGACUUGGUCUCAAAAAAAAGAGUACAUGGGACGUUAUUGUCCUGUCUACUCCUGUGGGUUUGAAGUUUUCCAUAAUGACAAUGGCAUACCACAUCACCAUACUCUGCAUUUAUAUUAAUAGUUCUUAUCACAAUCUGAACUUUCUUUGCUUCCUUGUUUUGAGUGUUUUCCUCAUGAAAGCUUCAUGAGGGUAAGAAUGGAGUCGCCCUUUUUCACUUUGGGUUCUCAAUGCUUAGAGCAGGAUCAGAUUUCAGAUUAGUGUAGCGCUGUCUUUAACACUUAACAUUUGCCUGUUUUAUUCACCAUGGACUCUAGAACUUUGAGCAGCACCUGGCACAUCGUAAGAGGUUAUUUUUUAAAGUUAGAAUAAUACAUCUAAAAUGUACAUGAAUGAAUGAGAGGCCUGGGAUGCCAGACUAAAGAGCUUUGACUUGGUCUAAAGGUGAUGGGGAGCUAGGCAAAGGUUUUGAGAGUUUAACUUUAAUUCAAAGUUCCCUUGGAGACUAAUGUCUGGGGUAGGGGGAAGCCAGGGUAAGGGUCCGGGCCAUGGAAUGGGGUAGCUCAGUCGCUAUCAAAAAGACAAGACUGUGACUAUUUGGCUGAAGAAAUGGCCAAACCCAGGUUUCUGGGGAGGUCGAGGUACCCUCAGUGAGGUCAGGACCUUCUCCUGGCCUAUACUGUCCACCAGCAACCAUCACACUCCUCCCUCCCCUCUCCCUUAGUUCCCCUCCCAAUGGUACAGCCCUUGACAGCAGGACAGACACACAGCCACCCCAAACACUU
This 2506-nucleotide long non-coding RNA is filed under the name Homo sapiens (human). Its description in RNAcentral is "non-protein coding lnc-SRRM5-2:1". Lineage: Eukaryota; Metazoa; Chordata; Mammalia; Primates; Hominidae. The record is from RNAcentral.